UAUGUCAGUGAUGUGUGUAAGUUUCACGAGGGCAAGGAUUUGUUUGUUUGGUUCACUGAUACGUCUCCAGGGCCUAGAGCAUAAGUGCUCAGUAAAUACUUACUGAUGAGUACUUCAAUGAAUGGCAUAACACACACAGAUUCAGGAAGUCCACAGCUGAGGGUGGGAAGGAGGCUAAUGAACUGUUAAAAUCCCCAGUGACUAAGCAGGUUUGUCAGGAAAAUAGUUCGCAAAGAUGAGACUCUGAAACUGAGUUCUGUAGUGUGAGGAGAACAAAAUAAUUAGUGGUUAUUGAAAAAAUGAAGUUUUUUUAUGUUUGGAUUUUAAAACUACAUACUAAUUUGAUCAGAAGCAAGUUAUGCAUAUGAAACACUUGAAAAAGAUUAAGAUCUUUAUAUAAAAUACUUGCCAAAAAAACUGGCUUGUGUUUGGUGAAGGCCACCUGUUUACUGCUGUAGACAGUCAGGAAGGCAGCCAAAGUGUUCUUACCUCGUGUAGGUAGUGGGUGACUAAGCAGGUGACUAAGGCAGAGAAAGCAGUUGGGGCACAUGAUGAAAUGUGUAAUAAGUGCUGAACUGUGUGGUGCACUUAGUCCUCCAGCAGUGGUUCAGAGAGCGGAGGAGAUGGGAAAUGAGUAGCCCUGACAAUGAAUAGGAUUCCUUGACAAUGAAUAGGAUUUGAGCAAAUGGAGAGAAAGAAGGAAGGAAUUCUCUGUGGGCAAACAGAUCGACAUGUAUAUGCUAGGUUCUAACCACUGUGCUUGAACAGACGGGAUCCAGAACUGAAAGACACAAGGAAAGCGCAAUUCAUUCACAGAGACACACAGGACCCUUCUGCGCUGAGAGGAAGCAGAAUUCUGCCGCAGCCCAGGCCGUUGAGGAGCAAGCCUUUCUCUGCCUUCCUCUUUGUGGUGCCUGCGUUUGCCCUUUGUAACACUCACUGCAACUUGCGGUCCGCUUGCACUGUGACGAAACUGUACAUGUCAUGAUGUCCUGAACCCUGUGUGUCUUUAAGUUUAUUCUCAUAAUUUAGCAUAGUUCAGUGGGAAUAGUUGGUGCUCAGUACAAUUGCAAAGUGAACGAAAUUCCUGCUGUGAACAGUGUCGUCUCCACAUAUCUCUAACCCACACCACUUUCCAGUUGAAAGUGUGCUGUGAUUGAGUAGAUGGCAGUCAGUAUCCAGCAAGUACUGGGCUGUGAUCAAUGAAGUUUAAUGAAGAAAUAAAAAUUGUUCUUGUCAUGCAA
Non-coding RNA from Manis javanica (Malayan pangolin), 1244 nucleotides. NCBI's taxonomy places the organism in Eukaryota, Metazoa, Chordata, Mammalia, Pholidota, Manidae. The record is from RefSeq and is a predicted model, not a curated record.